CAGAGGGCGCUUUGGCUUUGGCAGCGCUCCAAGUUCCUUGGAACAGGACGUCACAGAGGGUGAGAAUCCCGUACGUGGUCGCUAGCUAUUGCCGUGUAAAGCCCCUUCGACGAGUCGAGUUGUUUGGGAAUGCAGCUCUAAAUGGGAGGUAAAUUUCUUCUAAAGCUAAAUAUUGGCCAGAGACCGAUAGCGCACAAGUAGAGUGAUCGAAAGAUGAAAAGCACUUUGGAAAGAGAGUCAAACAGCACGUGAAAUUGUUGAAAGGGAAGCGCUUGCAGCCAGACUUGCUUGCAGUUGCUCAUCCGGGCUUUUGCCCGGUGCACUCUUCUGCAGGCAGGCCAGCAUCAGUUUGGGCGGUGGGAUAAAGGUCUCUGACACGUUCCUUCCUUCGGGUUGGCCAUAUAGGGGAGACGUCAUACCACCAGCCUGGACUGAGGUCCGCGCAUCUGCUAGGAUGCUGGCGUAAUGGCUGUAAGCGGCCCGUCUUGAAACACGGACCAAGGAGUCUAACAUCUAUGCGAGUGUUUGGGUGUCAAGCCCGAGCGCGUAAUGAAAGUGAACGGAGGUGGGAACCCGCAAGGGCGCACCAUCGACCGAUCCUGAAGUUUACGGAAGGAUUUGAGUAAGAGCAUGGCUGUUGGGACCCGAAAGAUGGUGAACUAUGCUUGAAUAGGGUGAAGCCAGAGGAAACUCUGGUGGAGGGCAGCGGUUCUGACGUGCAAAUCGAUCGUCAAAUUUGGGCAUAGGGGCGAAAGACU
This 758-nucleotide ribosomal RNA is filed under the name Curvularia asiatica. RNAcentral describes it as "eukaryotic LSU rRNA". It matches the Rfam family "Eukaryotic large subunit ribosomal RNA", at positions 151 to 932 of the family's 3401-position model. The record is from RNAcentral. Lineage: Eukaryota; Fungi; Ascomycota; Dothideomycetes; Pleosporales; Pleosporaceae.